AUUUCUUUUUUUUUAAAAUUAAAUUGGACCGAUUUUAUUAAACUCUUUGGCUACAGCCCAAUUCAAAUAAAGGUCCAGCCAGUGGCCCUAAAAAUUAAAAUUAAAAUUAGAAAUGAACUCCUAAAAUCUAUUUGUAUCUUCUGACCAUUCAUCUUCCUUCAACUCUGUUGGAAAGUGUUGCAACUAUGUUGGAGGAUGUUGGAAACUCCAGAUCCAGCGUAUGUUGCCGAGUUCCAGCUUAGAUUAGCUCAAUGUUCCAAAAUCAAGGCUCCGUCGGUGUUACAUUUCAGAUUUCCUUCUUCAGGUGGACUUCAUUUUACACUGUGAUAAUGCACCUGAGGUCUGUAAUCUUUCAAUUUGCUUAUAAUGGCAAUCCACUCACUUAUUUUUUAUUUCUGGUCCAUGGGUAUUUAAUCUUCACGAACUUUCUCACCAAGUCCUGAACUUGCUCCACCAUUGUGUUUUAUGUAGUAUUUCCUCCAUACUUUUUGUUGUUCCUUCUCUUCCAAAGUAUCCACAUUAUGAUUGUUGGCAUAGCUUGAUAUAUCACUUUUAGCUUUGGUGAAUCAUCUUGUUUCCACCAAGUGAUAAUAAGUUGUUGAAGGUGCAUUCCAAUAAUGUUUAUACCUGCAAAACUAGCAAACUGCCUCGAUAGCCUAGUGGCUAUAGGGGUUGUUUAAAAAAGAUGCGACAUAGUUUCCUCCUUCUUUGUUUCACAACACCAACAUCCCGAAACAAUUGGAAUGUGCAUUCUUUUGAGGUUGUCAUCUGAAGCUAUUUUCCUAUUCCAUACCAGAAGAAAUUCACCUUAAAAGAAAGUCCUUUACACCAUAUAAACUCAUAG
Molecule: long non-coding RNA, 844 nt
Organism: Solanum tuberosum (potato)
Lineage: Eukaryota; Viridiplantae; Streptophyta; Magnoliopsida; Solanales; Solanaceae
Exons: 3
Source: RefSeq, a predicted model, not a curated record